Molecule: transfer RNA, 64 nt
Filed under: Platerodrilus sp. MNCN/DNA:86739
Lineage: Eukaryota; Metazoa; Arthropoda; Insecta; Coleoptera; Lycidae
Description: tRNA-Asp
Source: RNAcentral
GAAAAUUUAGUUAAACUAUAACAUUAGAGAGUCAAACUAAAAUCAUUAAAUUCAAUAAUUUUCU